ACGCUCGACACCUACGGGAGGGAGCAGUGGGGAAUAUUGCACAAUGGGGAAACCCUGAUGCAGCGACGCCGCGUGAAGGAAGAAGUAUCUCGGUAUGUAAACUUCUAUCAGCAGGGAAGAAAAUGGCGGUACCUGACUAAGAAGCCCCGGCUAACUACGUGCUAGCAGCCGCGGUAAUCUGAGCGGGCUGGCAAGGC
This 197-nucleotide ribosomal RNA is filed under the name uncultured bacterium. RNAcentral describes it as "partial 16S ribosomal RNA". It matches the Rfam family "Bacterial small subunit ribosomal RNA", at positions 328 to 539 of the family's 1533-position model. The record is from RNAcentral.